Molecule: ribosomal RNA, 253 nt
Filed under: uncultured bacterium
Lineage: Bacteria
Description: partial 16S ribosomal RNA
Rfam family: Bacterial small subunit ribosomal RNA
Source: RNAcentral
UACGUAGGGUGCAAGCGUUGUCCGGAAUUAUUGGGCGUAAAGAGCUCGUAGGCGGUCUGUCGCGUCGGAUGUGAAAAUCCAGGGCUCAACCCUGGACCUGCAUUCGAUACGGGCAGACUAGAGUUCGGUAGGGGAGACUGGAAUUCCUGGUGUAGCGGUGAAAUGCGCAGAUAUCAGGAGGAACACCGGUGGCGAAGGCGGGUCUCUGGGCCGAAACUGACGCUGAGGAGCGAAAGCAUGGGGAGCGAACAGG